Lycium barbarum (goji berry) is the source of this 3340-nucleotide RNA transcript. It is a transcript of the gene named SAC3 family protein C, with no coding region annotated. The record is from RefSeq and is a predicted model, not a curated record. The transcript has 10 exons. NCBI's taxonomy places the organism in Eukaryota, Viridiplantae, Streptophyta, Magnoliopsida, Solanales, Solanaceae.
GAGGGUGGGGUGGGGGGUUGUGGAAGGGGACUGCAGCCAUUUCAUUUUUACUAUGACGGUAUAACUCGUUUUUCCGCUUCCGAUCAAGUGCUAGUGAAGUAUACGCCGAUCCAUGGCUGGAAGGAGUCAACCUCCAUACAGAAGGCCACGUGGCAACUUUUCCUCUUCUUCUUCCAGAUCCUUCCAGCCUUCUCAACCUUGCCGCAAAUUUCAGUCCCACCCAACCAACGAUGCUUCUCCCGACAGUAACAACAACAAGACAAGCUCAAGUAAUUUGGACAGAUCAAUUGAUGGAGAUAUUGAUGAUGUUCACAAUUUACCAUCCUUAGUUGGAACUUGCCCUUUCAUGUGUCCUGUUGAGGAGAGGGAAAAGCGAGAGAGGCUGCGAGACUUAGCUGUGUUCGAGAGGCUAUAUGGAAAUCCUCGCGAAUCAUCACCAAGCCUUGCUGUUAAAAAGUUCUGCAGGACUAUAUCCGCAAAGACUCUGCAAGAUUCUGAUGUGAGGCCUCUCUCAGUGUUGGAAGACACUUUAAACUAUCUGUGUAACUUGCUGGACUCUACGGAGCAUCCCUUUGAGGUGGUUCAUGACUUCAUCUUUGAUAGGAUGAGGUCCAUUAGACAAGACCUAAGUAUGCAAAAUAUCUCUUGCAGUCGAGUGGUCUCUAUGUAUGAGAGAAUGGUUAAGUUUCAUAUAAUUUCCCAGCAUAAGCUUAGAAGAUGUAGUGGCUCAAAUAUUUCUUCGCUGUCAUACCUCAACAUGGAGCAGCUAAUGAAGGCAUUGGUGACUUUAUUUACUCUUUAUGAAGCAAAUCGAACUUCACAGUCCAUCUUCGAAAAUGAAGCUGAAUUUUUUUCCUUUUAUGUGCUUCUCCACCUUGAUUCUAAAACCCAAGGAACAGUUAAGGGGGAGACACUAUCUUUAUGGUUCCGACGCGUUCCUUCUCACAUUAUGAAGUCAACAGAAAUGAAUUUUGCUCGGAAGAUCUUGAGAUACUUUAGAUUGGGCUUCUACAAGAAUUUUAUCCAUAUCACAGAAUCUGAUGCAUCCUACUUGCAGUAUUGCAUUAUUGAGCCUUCUAUCAAUGAGGUUCGAGCACUAGCUAUUUCCUGUGUGAAUUAUGGAGGAUACAAGCCUCAGCCUUUUCCCUUGGUGGCUCUUUCCAAACUCCUAAUGAUGAAGGAAUGGGAUCUAGAAUCUUUCUGCAAUGACAGUGGCCUUCAAACCUCAGUCGAUGAAGAAGGAAAUAGUUGCUUGCCUACCAAGCAAACAACUCUUAUCCAUCCAAAAGGAGGGUUGCACAAGUAUUAUCCGCUGGAAUCAGAACGGUUCGAGAGGUAAAAGUUUUAUUAAAGACAUUGUGUUGGGAGAGUUGGAGUACUCUGAGAGGCAUCGCGAUUUUGGGUAUUGUAGGGGUAUAAGGAUUGAUGAGGUUAAGGAUGUUAUUCGUAGGAUGCGCAGGGGAAGAGCGACCGAACCUGACGAGAUUCCUGGGGAAUUUUGGAAGUGUGCAGGCAGGGCAGGCUGGCUGACUGGGUUGUUUAAUGUCAUUUUCAAGACGGCGAAGAUGCCCGAAGAAUGGAGGUGGAGUACAAUGAUUCCUUUGUACAAGAACAAGGGCGACAUUAAGAGCUGCAACAACUAUAGAGGUAUCAAGCUGCUAACCCACACUAUGAAAGUGUGGGAAAGGGUGGUAGAGAUGAGGGUGAGGCGAGGCGUGUCUAUUUCAGAGAACCAGUUCGGAUUCAUGCUAGGGCGCUCUACUACAAAAGCCAUUCAUAUUGUUAGGAGAUUGGUGGAGCAGUUUAGGGUGCGGAAGAGGGACUUGCACAUGGUAUUCAUCGACCUAGAGAAGGCUACGAUAGAGUGCCAAGAGAGGUUUUAUGGAGAUGCUUGGAGGCUAAAGUUGUACCGGUGGCGUACAUUAGAGCGAUCAAGGACAUGUAUGAUGAAGCCAAGACCAGGGCAAGGACAGUAGGAGGAGACUCGGAGCACUUCCCAGUUCUGAUGGGUUUGCAUCAGGGAUCAACUAUUAGCCCAUUUUUAUUUGCUUUGGUAAUCGAUGGAUUGACGCGACAAAUUCAAGGUGAGGUGCCAUGGUGUAUGUUGUUUGCGGAUGACAUGAUCUUAAUUGACGAGACUCGUAGCGGAGUUAACGCUAAGCUAGAGGGUUGGAGGCAAACGUUGGAGUCUAAAGGAUUCAAGCUAAGUAGGACCAAGACGGAGUACAUGGAGUGCAGGUUCAGUGGUGUACCAAAUGAGGCUGGCGUGGAAGUGAGACUUGGUACCUAGGCCGUCCAAAAGAAAGAAAGUUUCAAGUACCUUGGGUCUAUUAUACAAGGAAAUGGAGAUAUCGACGAUGAUGUCACUCAUCGUAUUGGUGCAGGGUGGAUGAAAUGGAGGCUCGCUUUUGGAGUGUUGUGUGACAAGAAAGUGCCACCAAAACUUAAGGGCAAGUUCUACAAAGUGUUGGUUAGACCGACUUUGUUGUACGGGACAGAAUGUUGGCCAAUCAAAAACUCUCAUGUGCAGAAGAUGAAAGUUGCGGAAAUGAGAAUGUUGCGGUGGAUGUGUGGGCACACUAGGAGAGAUAUGAUUAGGAAUGAAGACAUCCGGGACAUGGUGGGAGUGGCAUCGGUGGAGGACAAGAUGCGGGAAGCGAGACUGAGAUGGUUUGGGCAUGUGAAGAGGAGAGACACAGAUGCCCCAGUGCGGAAGUGUGAGAGGUUGGCUAUGGACGGUCUCAGGAGAGGUAGAGGUAGGUCAAAGAAGUAUUGAGGAGAGGUGAUUAGACAGGACAUGGCGCAGUUUCAGCUUAUCGAGGACAUGACCUUAGAUAGAAGGUCGUGGAGGACUCAGAUUAGGAUAGAAGGCUAGUGAGGCUAAUAGGUUUUCUGUUGUACUGCAAGAGCUUUGAUGGUUAAGGAGAUGAAAAUUUGUCUGGAAGCAUUCAAUUUGCUGAGUCGAUAAGCUAUUGAGCUGGUUGGAGAUUGAAGAUUCAGCUAAAGAACACUGGAGCUCGAGAUCAAAUUUACAUAACAUUAUUUUAAUCUUGCUCAAUGCCUCAUCUUGAAAGUACUCCGCAGUCUCGGGCCAUGCCAAUUAGAUCCGUUUUAAAGUUUGUAUUUUACGGAUGAAAAAAUAAAGUUUGUAUUUUGCAUAUUUCUGCAAUCUAACUGUAAAUGUCCCCCCUCCCCCUUUCCUCUCCUCACGAGGCACUGUAUCAUUCCUGCUACUUCAAUAUCCAUAUGGAUGGAAAAGAAGAAAAGAAAAAGAAAAAAAAGUUUGUACCAUUCUGUUUUCGAUUCUGCAGAAAUAGAAACACGUUUUAAGUUAUAAGAA